RNAcentral lists this transfer RNA (83 nucleotides) under bacterium. RNAcentral describes it as "tRNA-Tyr". It matches the Rfam family "tRNA". From Rfam's summary of the family: Transfer RNA (tRNA) molecules are approximately 80 nucleotides in length. Their secondary structure includes four short double-helical elements and three loops (D, anti-codon, and T loops). The record is from RNAcentral.
GGGUAGGUACCGAAACGGUUAAACGGAGCAGACUGUAAAUCUGCCGGCGAUUGCCUUUGGAGGUUCGAAUCCUCCCCUGCCCA